AACGCAAGUUGCGCCCCAAGCCUUCUGGCCGAGGGCACGUCUGCCUGGGUGUCACAAAUCGUCGUUCCCCCUCAUCCUUCAAGGAUUCGGGACGGAAGCUGAUCUCCCGUGUGUUACCGCACGCGGUUGAUCGAAAUCCGAGCCAAGGAUGCCUUAAGCGUCCCGACAUGCGGUGGUGAACUCGUUCAACUCUCCCUAUCGUCGGUCGCUCUUGUCCGGAAGCUCUAGAUGACCCAAAGUCUUCAAUGCGACCCCAGGUCAGGCGGGAUCACCCGCUGAGUUUAA
This 285-nucleotide unclassified non-coding RNA is filed under the name uncultured fungus. RNAcentral describes it as "partial contains 5.8S rRNA and ITS2". Lineage: Eukaryota; Fungi. The record is from RNAcentral.